Non-coding RNA from Hydra vulgaris (swiftwater hydra), 158 nucleotides. The record is from RefSeq and is a predicted model, not a curated record. NCBI's taxonomy places the organism in Eukaryota, Metazoa, Cnidaria, Hydrozoa, Anthoathecata, Hydridae.
CCUAUUCAUUACCUUUAGCACGGAAAAUAAAUCAAACAAAACAACAUGUGGUGAAGCGUAGGCAUGGUUAUAACUAUCCUCUAACAAAUGAGAUUUUUUACCCAAUGCUACACAAGCGUUAUGUAAUAUGUAUGGAUCUGGUGAAAAGUUUGGAUUCU